RNAcentral lists this ribosomal RNA (468 nucleotides) under uncultured bacterium. RNAcentral describes it as "partial 16S ribosomal RNA". It matches the Rfam family "Bacterial small subunit ribosomal RNA", at positions 28 to 507 of the family's 1533-position model. The record is from RNAcentral.
GACGAACGCUGGCGGCGUGCUUAACACAUGCAAGUCGAACGGAAAGGCCCUGCUUUUGUGGGGUGCUCGAGUGGCGAACGGGUGAGUAACACGUGAGUAACCUGCCCUUGACUUUGGGAUAACUUCAGGAAACUGCGGCUAAUAUCGGAUAGGCGCUCCUGCUGCAUGGUGGGGAUUGGAAAGUUUCGGCGGUUGGGGAUGGACUCGCGGCUUAUCAGCUUGUUGGUGGGGUAGUGGCUUACCAAGGUUUUGACGGGUAGCCGGCCUGAGAGGGUGAACGGCCACAAUGCGACUGCGAGACGGCCCAGACGCCUACGGUGGGCAACAGUGGGGAAUAUUGCACAGCAGGCGGAAGCCUGAGGCAGCGACGCCCGGUGCGUGAAGUCGGCCUACGGGGAAUAAACCGCUUUCGCCUAAGACGAAGCGGGACUGACGGUAAUGAAUGAAGAAGCACCGGCUAACUACGUG